UGGGGAAUUGUUCACAAUGGGCGCAAGCCUGAUGACGCAACGCCGCGUGGAGGAUGAAGGUCUUCGGAUUGUAAACUCCUGUUGCUCGGGAAGAAUGGCUCCGACCUAACACGUCGGAGUGUGACGGUACCGGGUGAGGAAGCCCCGGCUAACUCUGUGCCAGCAGCCGCGGUAAUACAGAGGGGGCAAGCGUUGUUCGGAAUUACUGGGCGUAAAGGGCGCGUAGGCGGCCUGUUAAGUCGAACGUGAAAUCCCCGGGCUCAACCCGGGAACUGCGUCCGAUACUGGCAGGCUUGAAUUCGGGAGAGGGAUGUGGAAUUCCAGGUGUAGCGGUGAAAUGCGUAGAUAUCUGGAGGAACACCGGUGGCGAAGGCGGCAUCCUGGACCGAUAUUGACGCUGAUGCGCGAAAGCCAGGGGAGCAAACGG
RNAcentral lists this ribosomal RNA (427 nucleotides) under uncultured bacterium. Its description in RNAcentral is "bacterial SSU rRNA". It matches the Rfam family "Bacterial small subunit ribosomal RNA", at positions 355 to 775 of the family's 1533-position model. The record is from RNAcentral.